ACGGGAGGCAGCAGUGGGGAAUAUUGGGCAAUGGGCGAAAGCCCGACCCAGCAAUGCCGCGUGAAGGAAGAAGGUCUUCGGAUUGUAAACUUCUUUUAUGAGGGACGAAGGAUUUGACGGUACCUCAUGAAUAAGCCACGGCUAACUACGUGCCAGCAGCCGCGGUAAUACGUAGGUGGCAAGCGUUAUCCGGAUUUACUGGGUGUAAAGGGCGCGUAGGCGGGGAAGCAAGUCAGAUGUGAAAUCCAUGGGCUCAACUCAUAAACUGCAUUUGAAACUGUUUCUCUUGAGUGCUGGAGAGGUAGAUGGAAUUCCUAGUGUAGCGGUGAAAUGCGUAGAUAUUAGGAAGAACACCAGUGGCGAAGGCGAUCUACUGGACAGUAACUGACGCUGAGGCGCGAAAGCGUGGGGAGCAAACAGGAUUAGAUACCCUGGUA
RNAcentral lists this ribosomal RNA (437 nucleotides) under uncultured Oscillospiraceae bacterium. RNAcentral's name for it is "partial 16S ribosomal RNA". It matches the Rfam family "Bacterial small subunit ribosomal RNA", at positions 341 to 792 of the family's 1533-position model. Lineage: Bacteria; Bacillati; Bacillota; Clostridia; Eubacteriales; Oscillospiraceae. The record is from RNAcentral.